GACGAACGCUGGCGGCGUGCUUAACACAUGCAAGUCGAACGGAAAGGCCCUGCUUUUGUGGGGUGCUCGAGUGGCGAACGGGUGAGUAACACGUGAGUAACCUGCCCUUGACUUUGGGAUAACUUCAGGAAACUGGUGCUAAUACCGGAUAGGAGCUCCUGCUGCAUGGUGGGGGUUGGAAAGUUUCGGCGGUUGGGGAUGGACUCGCGGCUUAUCAGCCUGUUGGUGGGGUAGUGGCUUACCAAGGCUUUGACGGGUAGCCGGCCUGAGAGGGUGACCGGCAACAUUGGGACUGAGAUACGGCCCAGACUCCUACGGGAGGCAGCAGUGGGGAAUAUUGCACCAUGGGCGGAAGCAUGAUGCAGCAACGCCGCGUGCGGGAUGACGGCCUUCGGGUUGUAAACCGCUUUCGCCUGUGACGAAGCGUGAGUGACGGUAAUGGGUAAAGAAGCACCGGCUAACUACGUG
RNAcentral lists this ribosomal RNA (468 nucleotides) under uncultured bacterium. RNAcentral describes it as "partial 16S ribosomal RNA". It matches the Rfam family "Bacterial small subunit ribosomal RNA", at positions 28 to 507 of the family's 1533-position model. The record is from RNAcentral.